Molecule: transfer RNA, 77 nt
Filed under: Candidatus Endobugula sertula (Bugula neritina bacterial symbiont)
Lineage: Bacteria; Pseudomonadati; Pseudomonadota; Gammaproteobacteria; Cellvibrionales; Cellvibrionaceae
Description: tRNA-Arg
Rfam family: tRNA
About the family: Transfer RNA (tRNA) molecules are approximately 80 nucleotides in length. Their secondary structure includes four short double-helical elements and three loops (D, anti-codon, and T loops).
Source: RNAcentral
GUCCCCGUGGCACAACUGGAUAGCGCGACAGCCUCCUAAGCUGUAGGUUACAGGUUCGAUUCCUGUCGGGGACGCCA